Papaver somniferum (opium poppy) is the source of this 2535-nucleotide RNA transcript. It is a transcript of the gene named receptor kinase-like protein Xa21, with no coding region annotated. NCBI's taxonomy places the organism in Eukaryota, Viridiplantae, Streptophyta, Magnoliopsida, Ranunculales, Papaveraceae. The transcript is spliced from 2 exons. The record is from RefSeq and is a predicted model, not a curated record.
GGUAGCAGUAUUUGAUUGGCGGUGUACCCUAAAUCUCUAGAUUCUCGUAAUGGGCAAGGAUUGGAGAACUCUAUAAAGGAGGGGAGUCCCUUUUCUCAUCGUAGCUUGCUAUUCGUAUCCCAUAUACGGCAGAACUCGAAAGAGAAGAGAAGACUUCAUUCUCAAUAGUUGCUGCUGUUCUUGACCACUCAGCUGGAGCUAAUCAGGUAUGUAACAUCACUCAUUAUGUUAGUAAAUCAUGAUCUUAAUUUUUGGCAAGGUCCUUCAUUAUUUCUGUUGGCUUCAAUGAUUUUGUAUGCUAAUUUUCCUACAUGCUGAUCUUGGACCUGGCCAGCAACGAACUAAGUGGUAGUAUACCCAAACAACUUUUUGAACUUCCCUCUUUAUUGAUUCUAAACUUAGGUAACAACUCAUUUACUGAUGCACUUCCUAAGGAAGUUGGUAAGUUGAAAAACCUUCAGCGGUUGUUCCUAACAGCAAACCGAUUAUCUGGUGAAAUCCCAAGUACCAUAGGCGAGUGUUUAAGCUUAAAAUAUUUAUAUCUGGAUAAUAAUUUCGUCCAAGGAGACAUUCCUCGAUUUCUUACUUUCUUAGAAGGUCUUGAUGCAUCAAGUCUUUCUCACAAUAACUUGUCUGGUGUUGUACCGGAAGGGUUUGAAAAUCUUGCACUCGCUUGGUUAGAUAUAUCAUACAACAAUCUAGAGGGACUAGUACCAAAAGACGGGGUGUUCAAGAACAUAAGUGCAUUUUUAUUUGAAGGGAAUAAGAAGCUUUGUGGUAAUGUGGUGGGAUACCUGUCUUGAAGCUUCCAAACUGCUCUGUGCCAAUAAAUCCCAAUAUGGAGCAGAAACAGAGGAAAUCAAAGCCGGUCAAAUUUAUAAUAAUCAGCAUAGUUAUUGCGGUUUUUCUUUUAACUUUGAGUGUGUUUUUGCUCUAUAUGUAUUGGAGAAUGAAGUAAAAAAAAAGACUUCCCGCAACAACUUCAAACGUGGGUAAUAAUAAGUUCAUGGGAGUUUCUUACAAUGAGCUCCUUAAAGCUACCAAUGGAUUUAAUGAUUCUACCAACUUGCUUGGUGUCGGAAGUUUUGGUUCUGUAUACAAGGGAAUUCUUCAACAAGAUGAGUCAAUGCCUGUUGCAGUUAAAGUUAUGCGCCUUCAACAAAGAGGCGCAACCAAGAGUUUCAUGGCUGAAUGUGAUGCUUUAAGGAAAGUUAGGCACAGAAACUUACUCAAGAUUGUUACUUGUUGCUCGAGUACUGAUUUUCAAGGUAAUCCAUUCAAAGCUUUGGUUUUUGAGUUCAUGCCUAAUGGGAGUCUAGAAAAUUGGAUACACCCGUCGGUAAAUGAUGCAAACAACGAGGAUCAGGUACAACCAAAGAAUUUGAAUUUGGAAAGAAGACUAAGUAUUGCAGUCGAUGUUGCUUCUGCAUUAAAUUAUCUUCACCAUGAUUCUCAAUCGCCGGUUGUGCACUGUGAUGUGAAGCCAAGUAAUGUCCUUCUUGAUGAUGAUUUAACUGCUCAUGUGGGUGAUUUCGGCUUGGCUAAAUUACUUGUUAAUUCGUCCAGUAAUUCUAGACAGCAGCUGAAUGAACAAGAUGCAAACUCGAUAGCAAUAAAGGGCUCCAUCGAUUAUGUUUCUCCUGGUAAGAAAAUAAGCUUAAUUAUUACUCCAUAUAUAGUACAUUAUGUUAUUGAGGUCUAAUUUGUGUUUUGGUUUGUGCGGAAUAUGGAAUGGGUGGUGAAGUUUCUGCACAAGGUGAUGUUUAUAGUUUUGGGAUCCUUCUGUGGAAACUUCUGAGGAACCCAAGUCUGGUUUCUCUUUCAUUUUGAAACUCAUCAUUAAAAUGGUAGUGGUCAAUGAGUUGCCGUUUUUUUGUGCGUUUUCUAUGAGCAGUUUCGUCCACAAAUUUUGGCCAGUUAAGAUUAUUGCUAUUAUCUUCGGCAGGUUAAGGUUAUUAUUCGCUUAUUUUCAUUUAUUGGGAAUCUCGCUUGUGAGUUUGUCACCAUCACUUUGUCUUUCUUCUUUCAAUAUCAAAUGUUCUCUGAUCACAAAACUUUCUUCUUAAUGAAGAUUGAAGGAUAGAUAAAUUAGUGUGAAGUUUGCACUAGUCCCAUGUCAAUAUGAAAGCUUGUUGUAUAUCAAUCAUAUUUCAUCAUAAAGGAGAAAUUCACCCUUGCCUACGUAGCAUCUUUAUCAAAGAAAAACCUACAUAGCAACAAUUAAUUAGAUGACCAGGUGAGAAGAUUCAAGGCGGGAUGAUCCAAAGAGUAUCUUCAAAUUAGGACGUCGUCUGAUAUUUCAUGAUUUGGGUGCUAUGCACUUUUUUUUUGUUUUCUUUUUUUUUUGCCCCAAUUUCCCAAUGUACAUAUCCUGGUCUCCAUUGUGAUUGGUCUCAGUUGCAUGACAUACUAAUUACAGAAGGUGAUGUUGGGGUGAAAGUUGUUGUUUAUAACCUUGCAAACAAGGAGGUACCGGUGGUAAUUGCAAAUAUCCCAACAUUUGAUAGUUGUGAUCCCAACAUUUGAUAACUGUGA